AUUGAACGCUGGCGGCAUGCCUUACACAUGCAAGUCGAACGGUAACAGGUCUUCGGAUGCUGACGAGUGGCGAACGGGUGAGUAAUACAUCGGAACGUGCCUAGUAGUGGGGGAUAACUACUCGAAAGAGUGGCUAAUACCGCAUGAGAUCUACGGAUGAAAGCAGGGGAUCGCAAGACCUUGUGCUACUAGAGCGGCCGAUGGCAGAUUAGGUAGUUGGUGGGAUAAAAGCUUACCAAGCCGACGAUCUGUGGCUGGUCUGAGAGGACGAUCAGCCACACUGGGACUGGGACGCGGCCCAGACUCCUAGGGGAGGCAGCGGUGGGGAAUUUUGGACAAUGGGCGAAAGCCUGAUCCAGCAAUGCCGCGUGCAGGAUGAAGGCCUUCGGGUUGUAAACUGCUUUUGUACGGAACGAAAAGCCCCGGGUUAAUACCCUGGGGUCAUGACGGUACCGUAAGAAUAAGCACCGGCUAACUACGUGCCAGCAGCCGCGGUAA
Molecule: ribosomal RNA, 498 nt
Filed under: uncultured bacterium
Lineage: Bacteria
Description: partial 16S ribosomal RNA
Rfam family: Bacterial small subunit ribosomal RNA
Source: RNAcentral